This 506-nucleotide ribosomal RNA is filed under the name uncultured bacterium. Its description in RNAcentral is "partial 16S ribosomal RNA". It matches the Rfam family "Bacterial small subunit ribosomal RNA", at positions 29 to 523 of the family's 1533-position model. The record is from RNAcentral.
AGUGAACGCUGGCGGUAGGCCUAACACAUGCAAGUCGAACGGCAGCACAGGAGAGCUUGCUCUCUGGGUGGCGAGUGGCGGACGGGUGAGGAAUACAUCAGAAUCUACUCUGUCGUGGGGGAUAACGUAGGGAAACUUACGCUAAUACCGCAUACGACCUACGGGUGAAAGCAGGGGACCUUCGGGCCUUGCGCGAUUGAAUGAGCCGAUGUCGGAUUAGCUAGUUGGCGGGGUAAAGGCCCACCAAGGCGACGAUCCGUAGCUGGUCUGAGAGGAUGAUCAGCCACACUGGAACUGAGACACGGUCCAGUCUCCUACGGGAGGCAGCAGUGGGGAAUAUUGGACAAUGGGCGCAAGCCUGAUCCAGCCAUACCGCGUGGGUGAAGAAGGCCUUCGGGUUGUAAAGCCCUUUUGUUGGGAAAGAAAUCCAGCUGGCUAAUACCCGGUUGGGAUGACGGUACCCAAAGAAUAAGCACCGGCUAACUUCGUGCCAGCAGCCGCAGUAA